RNAcentral lists this ribosomal RNA (407 nucleotides) under uncultured bacterium. RNAcentral's name for it is "partial 16S ribosomal RNA". It matches the Rfam family "Bacterial small subunit ribosomal RNA", at positions 28 to 526 of the family's 1533-position model. The record is from RNAcentral.
GACGAACGCUGGCGGCGUGCCUACUACAUGCAAGUAGGACGCAGUUGCGAACGGGUGAGUAACGCGUAGGUAACUGCCUAUCAGAGGGGGAUAACUACUGGUAACGAUAGCUACUACCGCAUUCUAGUAGAUGGACCUGCGUUGUAUUAGCUAGGAGGUAGGGUAAUGGUCUAACUAGGCGACGAUACAUAGCCGACCUGCGAGGGUGAUCCGCCACACUGGGACUGCGGAAAGGCCCAGACUCCUACGGGAGGCAGCAGUAGGGAAUCUUCGGAAAUGGGGGGAACCCUGACCGAGCAACGCCGCGUGAGUGAAGAAGGUUUUCGGAUCGUAAAGCUCUGUUAUUAAGGAAGCGGUACUUAAACAGAAAGGGACGGCUAACUACGUGCCAGCAGCCGCGGUAAUUC